Molecule: long non-coding RNA, 2772 nt
Filed under: Olea europaea subsp. europaea
Lineage: Eukaryota; Viridiplantae; Streptophyta; Magnoliopsida; Lamiales; Oleaceae
Source: RNAcentral
CAGCAGUCAGUAUUUGGUUAGCUUAUUUUUUGUGGCAAUCUAGAUAACUCUGAACUGUAGGAAUUUGUCCUAUCCUUUUCAAUGUAAGGUUACUUCCUAUUCCAAGUUUUUCUUUAUUAAUUUCAUUUUAUGUUAAUACCUAUUUUGAAAAUGUUUUCUCCAUAUACCAAGUUCAUGGAUUCUCGCCCCUUUUUUUGCCAGAAAAAGUUUUGUCGAUGUUUUCUGAUUUUUUUCGAGACCUGUUUCAUAAUUUUCUCGAAACUUAACAUCUUACAUUCAUCAUUAUUCGAUUUUAAAUCGAUUCUAUAUAAAACCCUAACCCCCAAAUCGAAUACCCAAAUCUUGUUUUGCCUUUGUCACAUCAAAAUCUUUGAUUUAGAGCGUCUAAAAACACUGCGUGAAGCAACCAAAAAAAAAAGAAAAAAAAAAAAAAAAAAUUCUGCCUCAAAUGAUCUAUCUUUCAAAGGAGAAAAUUUACCCUUUACCAAUACUCUUGAACCCAAAAAUUGAAAAUGUUGAAGUACCUAAAAAAGUAGUUCAGCUAUAUGGUAAAUGAUUUUAUUAUUAUUAUUUUUUUCUUUUCAUAACCUGUGUAUAGCAUUUUUUUUUUCCCUUCAUAUCUCGUGUAUAGUUCGUGCCUUUUAUAUAUUUUUAUCCAAUUUUUGCUAUUAUAGAAAAUGUUAAAUUAUUGUAAACAAACUGGUUGUGAGCCUCUUUAUUUUUUAAUAGGUUUCAAAUACGAAGCGGUUUACUUACUUUUACUAAUUCAUUUAUACUCAGAUGCAUUUUUCAAAGUUUUACAAUACAAUAGUGUGUAUUAUCAAGUUGUCAAAAUACGUGUCAAUGUAUUUUUGUUCAUGCAUUCAAAAUGUUUGAGCAAAGUUUUGUAAUUUUAUCUCUGCUUACAUGUAUACAUGAUAUGUGACACAUUUGUUCAGUAUUAUACAUGCUUGUAGACAUGAUAUAGAACAUUUUUUUCUUUGAUUCGAGCAUUUUUAUAUUUUAGCAUGUUAAAUCAAAUGCGCAAUUAAGCAUGUUAUAGUAUGUCACGUGUGUGUUAUAGUGUGUCACAAUGAUGUGGAUAAAUUGUUUAAUACUAUAUGUUAUGUCUCAGUUUGAUCAUCAACUUUGUGUUUACUGUUUCGAUAUGUAAAUUGGUUCAAAAUUUUAACUUAUUUGCAGAGCACAUGCUUUUCAUGUGGAGACUGUGGAGUGCUGUUUUUCUGGAUGACAGGGAAGUAAAUGCAAGUUUAUGUAUUUCGUAGUAUUAUAAGCAGUCUUUGCUCACUCAUGGACUUUUUUCAAUUGCAUUCACGAAACAGGCCACACGUAUACUGUUGUAUGUUUUAGUAAUUGUUCUUUGCACUGUGAAUUUAUAUAAGAUGUUGAAACUGCAUCAUAUGUUUGAUUGUAUUUCCAGGUUUACUUUUCUAAAUCGGAACUUUUUGGUAAAGAGGUUUUACUGAUUGAUUUUAUUUAUUAAUCAUUUUCUCUUAUUUUUCUUGUACUUUUGUCUAUUACCUUUAAUUUAACAUUCGAUAGCCUUGAAAUGAGAUCAAUGCUUCUCAUAGUAACGAAGCAUAUUCUCAUUUUGCUUAUUUGUACUAAGCUUCUGUAUUCACUAUCCUUUUCCAGCCUUAGUCUUAUGUACUUAAUUUUCACAUAACCCCUUCUAUUUCCAAGCUGGUGCUACAUAGCUUCCUUUGUACCUUUCUUGUGAGCAUUGCUUUAUUGGACUGAAUUUUGUUUUAGCUUCUGUAUUAUGAUUAUCUUCUUCACAUUCUAUUGUGGUGUACAUAGUUUAAAACCCAGCCUAGCCUAGCCAGUCUGACUUGAAAACUGGUGGCCCAGAUCCUUAUGAACUUGAUAGAUGGGUAUGCAUUUGACCCGUUCAAUCCGGAAAAACAGAACGGGUCAAAAUCCGGGUAAACUGUCUGUUUUUCGUUGAACCUAAGGCCCGGUUGACCAGUUUUUGAAAUUUAAAAUCAUAACUUGGGAUGAGGGAAUUGAUCCCUUUUGCUCCUCCUUGAAAACGUUUGGAGCACACUGUUGGAGACAGUAAGUAGUUGUUACAGUUUGUGUAUUAAUAAAUUAUGAGAUUAUAAAAUAAUUCAUCUAUUGUUAAUGUAAAAUAUUUUUGAAAAAAAUUAUAGUUGAGGUUAAGAUCAAAUAAUUAUUUUAUGUAUUCAUUAUGUAUAGAGAGAUUAUUUUUAGCUAUGAUGCACUGAUACGGACAUAUAUAUCGGACACGUAUCGUGUCGGAUACGUUGACAUGUGAUUUUUUAAUAAAGUACCGACACAACACAUUGCCGACUCGCGGAUUAAAAUCUUUAAAAAUUUUCAUAUAUGUAGUAUAAAUUUAGUUUUACACUUGUUAUUAAUUUUUUUUGUUGAAAUCUUUUAAAUAUAAGUAUCUUUUAAAUAACAAUGAAAAAUGCUUAUGAUAGAGUGUUUGAGAAGUUUCGGUUUCGACACGUGUCCGACACGCUAACCUAAUUGAAGUGUUGGACACGGACAUGCUACCCUAAUUGAAGUGUCCGUACUACAGAAAUUUUUAGUUAAGAUGAAUCAAAUUUCUUAAUACACACGAGUUUUUGAUUGAUAAAUGAAAUGUUUUAUACAUAAACACAAAUGAGAAAAUUAUAAAUUUUGAUGGAAAUUCUAUGCUAUACAAAAUUAUAAAACUAAAAUGCAAACAUUAGAGUAACUUAUAAAUUUAAAAUGUGCAAAUAUUAUAGUAAAAUAUAAGUUUAAAAUAUCGAUAAUUUAUUG